Molecule: ribosomal RNA, 541 nt
Filed under: Trigonopterus sp. 452 AR-2020
Lineage: Eukaryota; Metazoa; Arthropoda; Insecta; Coleoptera; Curculionidae
Description: partial large subunit ribosomal RNA
Rfam family: Bacterial large subunit ribosomal RNA
Source: RNAcentral
UUAAAAACAUGUCUUGUUGAUUAUAAUUUCAAGUCUGACCUGCCCAAUGAGGAAUUUAAUGGCUGCGGUAAAUUGACCGUACAAAGGUAGCAUAGUCAUUAGUUUUUUAAUUGAAAGCUUGUAUGAAAGGUUUGAUGAAAAAAAGGCUGUCUCUGUAGAAAUUUAAUUGAAUUUUAUUUUUAAGUGAGAAAGCUUAAAUUUUGGUAAAAGACGAGAAGACCCUAUAGAGUUUUAUAAUACUUUUUAUAUAUAUAUAUCAAGUUAAGAAAAAUUGUAUAUAAGAAGGAAUUAUUUCGUUGGGGAGAUGAAAAAAUUAAUAAAACUUUUUUUUUACUUAAAUCAUUCAUUUAUGUAUAGUUGAGCCCAGGGUUUGGAUAAAAAGAUUAAAUUACCUUAGGGAUAACAGCGUAAUCUUUUUGAGAGUUCUUAUCGGAAAAAGGGAUUGCGACCUCGAUGUUGGAUUAAAAUGAAUACUUGGUGCAGGAGCUAAGUGGGCAGGUCUGUUCGACCUUUAAAAUUUUACAUGAUCUGAGUUUAAACC